UACGAAGGGUGCAAGCGUUACUCGGAAUUACUGGGCGUAAAGCGUGCGUAGGUGGUUCGUUAAGUCUGAUGUGAAAGCCCUGGGCUCAACCUGGGAAUGGCAUUGGAUACUGGCGACCUAGAGUGCGGUAGAGGGGUGUGGAAUUCCCGGUGUAGUGGUGGAAUGCGUAGAUAUCGGGAGGAACAUCAGUGGCGAAAGCGGCACCCUGGCAUUUGCCUGACGCUCAUGUGCGAAAGCGUGGGGAGCGAACGGG
RNAcentral lists this ribosomal RNA (253 nucleotides) under uncultured bacterium. RNAcentral describes it as "partial 16S ribosomal RNA". It matches the Rfam family "Bacterial small subunit ribosomal RNA", at positions 524 to 776 of the family's 1533-position model. The record is from RNAcentral.